AAUUAAUGAACUUGUUAAAAGUAUAUAUUUUGAAAAUAUAAAAAAGAGAUUAAAAUUCUCUAUUAAUUU
RNAcentral lists this transfer RNA (69 nucleotides) under Sarophorus sp. SAR01. Its description in RNAcentral is "tRNA-Ser". The record is from RNAcentral. Lineage: Eukaryota; Metazoa; Arthropoda; Insecta; Coleoptera; Scarabaeidae.